RNAcentral lists this long non-coding RNA (1850 nucleotides) under Canis lupus familiaris (dog). RNAcentral's name for it is "lncRNA (ENSCAFG00030020950.1)". Lineage: Eukaryota; Metazoa; Chordata; Mammalia; Carnivora; Canidae. The record is from RNAcentral.
UGCCCCAACUUUCUCACUUGUUUUUACCUCUGAGAUCUUAGGAGCUAAGACUGUAGGGGUGGCUGUGGGAAUUCCAGCAUGCACAGUGUGGUUUGAAAUCCACAGACAAGGGAGCAUGGCUUCCUUCCUUGGCCUGCUGCCCCAUGCGCGGUGAGCAGAGCAGCCAAGCCAAAGUGGCAGCCGUGGUGUGGGAGCCCAGCUCUGCUGCCAUAAAUUAGCCAGGGGCAGGAAGGAGCAGUGAGAGUCAGCGGUUUCAACUACCUAGUAGUUCAUUUUUGUUCUUGUUUUUCAGUUAGCAAUCUGUAAAAUUUAUUACAAAAUUAAGCUCCCUGCUCCAGAGUCAAUAAUAUUCCUGGUGCCAGGUGGUGUAAUAAUUCACAAAAAGGGCAGGAGUUGGAGAGAAUGAGACUGAUUUAGGAAGUAGACUUCCAAGCCCGAUUUGCUGCUGCCUACUCCCUGCUGCUAAAGGUCAGAAAAAAAGAGGAAAGGAAGUAAAAUUAUUUGUGUUUCAAAGAUAAGGAUUUGCAUCUUAGAGAAGAUUAAACCUUCAACACUGGUGAAGGAAAGGGGUCGUCUCUUCACCUCUGGUGGACCUUGUUUGUCAGCAUUAUUUCCCAACCUCCGGGCAUGGCCUUUUGAUGUGACCUACAGGAAGAUGAGGAGCCUUGGGAGAGUUGCAUGCCAGAGGGCAGAGAAAUCACACAUCAGCCAGUCCCAGGACAAGAAGUGAAAUGAUGCUUUUUAAGUCGAGGGGUCUGACUUUUUACAGGUCACUAAACCCAAAGCGAUUGCAACAAAGAAAAUAAGAUUCACAUUAGGCACAACUUAAGUAUUUUUAAUUUAAAAAACCCACAAAAACACAGUAAAAGAAAGAAGAAGCCAGAAGCCAGAGUUCUAAGUAGCAGCAAUUUUGUAAUUAGAUUUUUUUAGUUUAAAAUGUUCAUGUAUUUCAUUAUAUUUUAAUAAAAUUUUAAUGCUUAUUUGAGUACUUAAAAGUGUUGUCAUAUUUAGUGUCCAUCAGUCUACAGAAAUAGUUAAAAAGUCAUCAAGAUUUUUGUAUAACAACUGAGGCAAACUUAGUUUAGAAUGACUCCCUGAAUUAUUUAUUACUUUUGAGGAAGUAGAUAUAAUCGGGUAGGUUUUACCCUAAUAGAAAGGAAUAUAUACCACUGGAGCAUGAAAAGGAUAAUAUUUUUUUGGUUUUCCCAGGAUUUAUUACAAUAAUUAGAUUUACCAUAAUCAAUAAAAUGUGUGAGUCAAGUUUAUUGAAGUGUCAAUUUCCCAUUGCAUAAUUUCCCCUGAGAACUUUAAUUUUUAAUUCAAAAAGAAAAGUGGAAGAUUUGUCUUACAGAUGCCAGUGAAUGUGUGAGGGUAAAGAAAGCUCAGGAGUCCUUACAGAAAUCAAAGUGGGACUUAGAACAUUCCUUUACCACUCCUUCCCACAUCCCUUGGCUGACCAUUAAUUUUCCAGGCGAAUGAGAUCUUGAAAUGGCCCAGGUACAGAUCUCUUUGCCUAAAUUUCAGAAAGAUGUAUUGGACAGUAAGAUUUGAUGACUUUUACAUCAUCAUCCCCAACAAUCAAGAGCACUCAGGGCUGGGGAACACUGUGAUUGGCUUACAUAAUUUGAACAAUAAAAGGAAAUGAGUCCAUUAGUUAGUCUAUUGGCAUAAUUUACAACUAUGUAUAUCACUAUUUUAAAUGGAAUGUGGGUCCUUCUGGAUUUAAAAAAUGAAGCUACACUAAUGAAGAUGAAGACAUUUAUUGGCAAUAUGCCGACUUUUUGGGUAAUGAUUAUAUAAUACAUGGAUUAGAAUGAUUGCAAAAAUAUCCCUGAUUCUCUACCUUUCCC